CAGAAUGAAAAAUAUGCAAAAUUAUUCGGGUUUGAGAUGUAAAUUCUGCUGCCAGAAGGAUGGGUGAGAUGCUUAAUGGAAGAAUUGGGUCUCAGACUAAAGAAUAUUCUGGUAAACCAUAAAACAGAAGACUCACAAAAUCUUCCUCAUCAAAAGACCUCCAGAGAUUCAUGUCUUUCUACCCUGUUUCCUGACCUUAUGAGAUGUCCAGACAACCAGGAUUUGUAAAUCCAUUCCUAAGGAAAACAGAAGUAUAUGACUGUGUAGUUCUUCCCUGAUAACUUCUGAAAUGAUUGGGCAAUUUUAGCCGAUGAGAAUAAGGGUCAUAGUGUUAUUAAUUCCCUGUAAAUGUAAUGAAAGAAAUGGGAUAAACUCAUAUUAUCAUGGAAAAAGCUACAUCACCAGUCCAGCUGUGACAAAGUGAGAAAUCCAUGCUGGACAGAGGAGGAAAAUAUAUAUAAAUAUGUUGCUUCUUGUGGAAACACUUGUGUACCACUAAUCUUCUUUGUUAAACCAAAAAUUAGGUUGAAAACAUUAAGGUUGCAAAGUCCAGUACCUCCAACCUGAUGAAUUUGAAGAAGAUUUUGCAUUUUCUGCUGCUGCAUUAUGACACAGGCUGGAAUCAGACAACAGUGGAAUAUCUUCCCUUGGAUUCGUGCACGGAACGGGAGCUCUUCAGCUGAGUUCAAGAAGCAUUUGGAAAAGGCUCUCAGGGACAUGGUGGGAUUCUUGGGGUUGUCCUAUGUAGGGCCAGGAGUUUGAUGAUCCCUGUGGAUCUCUUCCAACUGAGGAUAUUCCGUGAUUCUGUGAUAUAUCACCCUACAUGUGAGUGCCUCGUGUCUUGUGUGCUCUUCGAACCUGGAGCUCCGAAGACGUCGCUCCUAAUUUGUUUCAUUUGCUCUUCAGUAGAGCAUAUCUGGAAAAUAUCUGAGUGCUUCAGGAAUGUUAGUUAAUUGUCACAACCCCCUGGUGGGGCGAGUGAUUUCCCUGCUAAUAGAUUAGGAGCUCCAGCAUGGGAAUGCCAUCAAAGCCCAGCUCCCCCAGCGCGCCAGGUAACAGGCGGAUCGUGACACUGCAGUCACCCUGUUUGGAACUCACAUCCCUGCACUGCAGGGGGGAUGCAGCUGGGAAGGAACUCUGCUCCAGAAAAUUAGGGACACAGAAAUAACAGCCUACUGGGAAUAGUUUGGUUUGGGUAACUCCAUGACACCAAUGAUGCAUUUUCUUCCUGCAUCCCAUAUGUAACGUUCGCCGAGGCUGACAGAUAUCAGAGACAACAUCUAAAUUUAUAUACAAUUAAAUAUAUUUAUGUACAACUAAAUUUAUACAUAAUUUUGAUUACACGAUUAUACAGAUGAUACAAUUACACAGGUAAUUAUUUUUAUUCAAUUUUUUUCUCUAAUAUUAAUACACAGAGCAAAUGUUUGUUGUGAACUGAAUAAGGGAAAGGCCUGUAAAGAAGUGGUCAGACAAAUAAAUGCUGCAUCACUACAAGUAUCAGGGCACAAAGUUAAAACUGUUUCUUAAGGUCCAAACACUUGAUUUUUUUAGUUUUGGUUUUUUUUGGCAGCAUGUGGGUGAGAGAAGGGCAGAGAGAGGCAGAAAGAGAAAAGAGAAAGGGUCUUGUUGCAGUCCGAGGUUCAAAAUCAUUGUAAUUAAGCCUUAAUUUUUCAUAAAUUAGAAAUUAUUAAGAAGCUAUGGUCAGGGCUGUAAUGUGAGAUGAUCCAAAAAGGAGGAUUUGCUUUGGGAGCCACUGCAGAAUGAAUUGCAACAUGAACAAAGUAAAUGACUUGUAAAUAUAUCUGGUAAUUGGGUAUUAAUGGGAACUCUUGUGCACACCCUGCACAUGCCUCUUUGGAGCUGCAAAAUUGGGCUGUCAUUCAGAGAUUUGACUGUAAGAACCUGUUUUUAAGAAGUCUGGAAAGAAUGGAAAACUCAUGGAUGAGAACACAAGCCAGGAGAGAGACAGAUCAGGACUUUUUAUCUCUGAGCAAAUUGUUUCAUAACAGCUCACUUCAAGGCUUUGGGUUCUCUCUGGGAAACGCCCAAUGGUCAUUUUUAGUCAUUUUUAGUUAUUUUUAGUGAGAAGACAGAGUUCUGACCUGGUGUUGUUCUACCUCUGGCAUUUUGUGAUACGGUUUUAUAAGAUUUCAUCAUUACAGAGGAGAAAUUGUUAAGGUUUUUAAAUCAAAACAGACAAAUACCUCGACAAUCUAAACUAUAAUAGGGGAAAGAUCAAAUUCUCCCCUUGCUUCAAUUCAACCAUCUCAUUAGCAUUAAUAGGGCUGCAUGUGGAACUGAUGGCAAAAUUUGGUUAGAAAACCUUGAAGGACUUCACUUUAAAAAGACAUUUUUAUGUACAGGCCAGGAAAAAAAAAACAGCUGAAACUGAUAAAAUGCAAGUUAUACCACCAUAACAACAGUGCCUAGGAGUAAAAUUUGGGUUUUUUCCCCCCUUCAAGUGGGUAAAUAUCGUUCCCAGACUGGAGCCUUCAUCACAAGCCAACUUUUAACUGCAAGAGGAAUGUCUGAAUUGCCCAGUUAAGCCUUGCAGACCUUUUUCUUUGAUGCUGGAAAUGUUUCUGUGCAGUCAUAUGCUGCAAAACCCACCCUAGUAAGCAGGGAUUUUGUCAGUGUGGUGUCUGCAAAAUUUGGGAAGGGGGAUCAUUUUUAUUGUAGUUUGAUUUUCCCCUUAAAUAUAUUUUGGAGUGUUCUUUGCAAGAAGGUGUCAUACCUUACGUGUUGCCUCCCUGAAUAAAGUCUCAGUUUUAACAGUGCAGUCCCAAAUGUGUUUCGGGGAGGUUUAGAUUGAAUAUAAGGACAAAAAUUCUUCACUGAAAGGGUUGUCAAAUAUUGGAAAAGAUGCCCAGGGAUUUAAAAGCCACGUGGAUGUGGCACUUGGGGACAGGGGUUAGUGAUGCAAAGUCUGGAUUUGAUGGUCUUAGAGGACUUUUUCAACCAAAAUGAUUCUACUGUGGUUCCGUGUUCAUAAUGAAAAUAUCAACAUUUCUGUGUGAAGGGGAAAUUUUGGAAUUGAGGAAAUUUUGGAAUUGUCCUUUGUGCUUCCACAUCAAACACAAAUAAAUAUGUGAUUGCCAUUUACACAUUAUUUAUCCAUCUGGAAGCACAAUAAUGCAGAGGGUGGCAGUUCUGGUCAGAAAUAUUUCCCUUCAUGGGGAGUCAAUGUUUUAAAUAUCAGUAGUACUGUGUAAUCACAGAGUAGAAAAAAAUGUGAUAAAACACUGUAGUAAAAAAAAUACACUUUUAUUCCAGAGCAUGAGACUCAAAACACCUGUGAAUUUUUGUCCUUCCCAGCUUUGUACAGUGCCAAACACAACUUUCCUGCUCUUUCACCUGGCUGUUUGUGCCUGGAAGAAAAUAUUAUAGCCAUAAGAUAUAAAAGACAUCAAGUAUUUCCUUUUUACAGGAAGAGGCAAGGGGCUGAGGCUGCUCUUUGCUGCACUUCCAGAUCAAGGAGACUUUUCACCCUCCAGGUUUUUAACUAUUGUUACUUUGGUAGGUGAGAUGUGCCCCUCACAUGCCCAAAAAUAUCACAACCAGCAAAGGCCAUAACCCUCCUGUACAGCACCAAAGACAACCUGUGGCCCUCAGAAAGGGCACCCAGAGCCCCAGAAAUUCAGAACUUGGCCAGAUCACUGAAAAUCAAGUGCAGGACUUGAGAGCAUGUGUUCUCCUUCCAAUACCUGCACAAAGAAAUGACACUUAAAUUCAACCUGGCAACACCUUCACAGGGUAUCAGCCCUGCACAAUCAGCUGCUUGCAAGAGUCACCAAAUCUCAAUUAAAACCAAGAAAAUGGCACGAUUUUUUGUCCCAAGAGCAACAGAAACCAGGUACUUCAGCAAAGCAAGAUAACUCAAGAGCUGAUGAAUAAAUAAUAGCAGGGGAUGAAUAAUUUAGGUGUGGUGUCAGAUGCCUUGAACAAUCUUUAUCCUUGAAACAAUAAGAUGUGACCACGUGCAGUGUGCGUGUCUGUCAUACAGAGAGGCUGCAGGAUUAAAAACUUGUUUUGGGGAGCUGGACUCUUAAAAUAUCAGAUGCUGAGCAAUGUCACAUGCAACACCUGUCAGGAAGUGAGAGGACAAAGCUCCUGCCCUGAAGUUUAGGAUGGACAUGUGGCUUUUCCCAGGUUGGCUCAGCUGCUGAGGAUGGAGGAAAAUGCUCUGAGGUGAAGCUGAUGAAGGUAUUUCAGCCAUGCAGGGAAUUGUAGGCACUUAAAUUGCAGCUGAUAUAUCGGUAGGAGAAAGUUUUCCCAUGUUUUUCUCCUUAAAAGAGGGAUUGAGAAGGCAAAGGAGCCUUUAGCUACUCUUCGCUUUAUUUAAUGUGACCCAUUAAUGUUGUUCCUUCAGGUGGUUUUGGGUAAUUGAAAAUCCAGACUCAGGCAGCCCUUUGCAAACUCACUUCUCUGGGUUUUUGGUGUCCCUGCUGCCCUCCAAACACACAGACUGCUCCUCUCUGCAGGGAGAUGUUUUGGUGUCCUGGGUAAGUCUUGUGGUGAGGGGUGGCUUUGGAUAAAUGAGGCAAAUUUGAGCUUGCUCAAUCUAAAAGA
Molecule: long non-coding RNA, 4569 nt
Organism: Pseudopipra pipra
Lineage: Eukaryota; Metazoa; Chordata; Aves; Passeriformes; Pipridae
Exons: 2
Source: RefSeq, a predicted model, not a curated record